RNAcentral lists this ribosomal RNA (468 nucleotides) under uncultured bacterium. RNAcentral's name for it is "partial 16S ribosomal RNA". It matches the Rfam family "Bacterial small subunit ribosomal RNA", at positions 28 to 507 of the family's 1533-position model. The record is from RNAcentral.
GACGAACGCUGGCGGCGUGCUUAACACAUGCCAGUCGAACGGAAAGGCCCUGCUUUUGUGGGGUGCUCGAGUGGCGAACGGGUGAGUAACACGUGAGUAACCUGCCCUUGACUUUGGGGUAACUUCAGGAAACUGGGGCUAAUACCGGAUAGGAGCUCCUGCUGCAUGGUGGGGGUUGGAAAGUUUCGGCGGUUGGGGAUGGACUCGCGGCUUAUCAGCUUGUUGGUGGGGUAGUGGCUUACCAAGGCUUUGACGGGUAGCCGGCCUGAGAGGGUGACCGGCCACAUUGGGACUGAGAUACGGCCCAGACUCCUACGGGAGGCAGCAGUGGGGAAUAUUGCACAAUGGGCGGAAGCCUGAUGCAGCAACGCCGCGUGCGGGAUGACGGCCUUCGGGUUGUAAACCGCGUUCGCCUGUGACGAAGCGUGAGUGACGGUAAUGGGUAAAGAAGCACCGGCUAACUACGUG